RNAcentral lists this transfer RNA (87 nucleotides) under Bryobacterales bacterium. RNAcentral describes it as "tRNA-Leu". It matches the Rfam family "tRNA". From Rfam's summary of the family: Transfer RNA (tRNA) molecules are approximately 80 nucleotides in length. Their secondary structure includes four short double-helical elements and three loops (D, anti-codon, and T loops). Further hydrogen bonds mediate the characteristic L-shaped molecular structure. tRNAs have two regions of fundamental functional importance: the anti-codon, which is responsible for specific mRNA codon recognition, and the 3' end, to which the tRNAs corresponding amino acid is attached (by aminoacyl-tRNA synthetases). tRNAs cope with the degeneracy of the genetic code in two manners: having more than one tRNA (with a specific anti-codon) for a particular amino acid; and 'wobble' base-pairing, i.e. permitting non-standard base-pairing at the 3rd anti-codon position. The record is from RNAcentral. Lineage: Bacteria; Pseudomonadati; Acidobacteriota; Terriglobia; Bryobacterales.
GGCGGGCUGGCGGAACUGGCAGACGCAGACGGCUCAAAAUCGUCCGACCGCAAGGUCAUGGGGGUUCAAUUCCCUCGCCCGCUACCA